UCCGACCGCUGAGUACUAGAAAACGUUAGGACGAGAAGAACGGUUUUUUUGGACCACCGAUGUGUGACACCAUCGAACCUCACGCAGAAAUGGAAAUUACAAUUUAUCAAGAAAAACAAUACGAACAGCAGCAGCAGAGGGAGCCGGCAAGUAGAGGCGAUUCCUAAACACGCUACAGCACGAGGUGUACACGCGCUCUAAAAUCCUCCUUGGGAUUAUACUAGUACAAAUUUUAAAGAAGAACACAGACAGAGCAAUCAGGAAAACUGCAAUGGUACAACAGUUCCAGACAGAUCUGCUAGACAUUUCCAUCACUUUCUAAGGCUCAUGCAUUGCACUUGUGAUUCGAGUUUCGAGUAAGGUGAUACGGUGAGCUCAUUUUCGAAUACCCUUUUACGCCAUUCUCUCGAGAAAGAUCGUUUACAUAGCACUGAAAAGAAAAUUAGUCUCAGGGAAAACAUAUUUUUAGUGUUUUUCGAAAGAACACGCAUGAUUCAAUGGUACAAUGGAGAUGGACAUUUAAUCAAAGCAAACUGCUAAUGCUAACUUCAAAGCAAUGAUGAAGACUUUCCUUUCUCCCACUGCCUGAUCUUUUUACUUCGCAAAAAUCAAUCGUGAGCCAAGAAGAAGAACAGCAUCCUGCAACAAAUUCAGAGAUUUUUAUAGUUUAUUGGAGUCAAAUUCAUGAAACACAAUAUAUGCGAGGAAAGUUGGAGUUGUCUCCUUUGUUGAAUGGACAUAUAACAAUGAUCAUCAAACGAUUUUAUAGCUUAUUGUAUGUCGGUGUUUCAUUUUCUUUUGCAUGUUUUUAAAAGUUACAGGAUGUUUUUUCGCAUUUCCCUUCGAAUGAAAGAGCUAUCAUUUUUUGUGAGUGAAAACAUUGUUUUACUCUUUAAUGAUGUCUUGGAAUAAUGGGGUUUCUGAUAUUGAAUGAACUUUCUGAACAAUUAGAUCAUUUUUAAGGUCGUUAAGGGACAAUCGUUUGCAAUUUCUGUUUUGAUUAUAGUUAGCUGAGGGAAAGAACAUGUUGAUUUUUCUUUUCAUGUAUUAUUUGGUUUGAAGAAUUUGCAAUUUCGACUUCACAAGAAGUCGAAAUUGCAAAUUCUAGAAUCAUCAUUGUAUCUAUGUAUCUCCCCAGGAGAGGAGAGGUCUUGUUCAGAAUUCAGUCCUCCUUUCAUACGACAUCUGAAACAUUAUAGUAACAAGCUGGAAACAA
This is a long non-coding RNA of Pocillopora damicornis (cauliflower coral), 1216 nucleotides long. RefSeq lists it as uncharacterized. NCBI's taxonomy places the organism in Eukaryota, Metazoa, Cnidaria, Anthozoa, Scleractinia, Pocilloporidae. The record is from RefSeq and is a predicted model, not a curated record.